This 440-nucleotide ribosomal RNA is filed under the name uncultured bacterium. RNAcentral describes it as "partial 16S ribosomal RNA". It matches the Rfam family "Bacterial small subunit ribosomal RNA", at positions 338 to 795 of the family's 1533-position model. The record is from RNAcentral.
CCUACGGGAGGCAGCAGUGGGGAAUAUUGCACAAUGGGGGGAACCCUGAUGCAGCGACGCCGCGUGGGUGAAGAAGCGCCUCGGCGCGUAAAGCCCUGUCAGCAGGGAAGAAAAUGACGGUACCUGAAGCAGAAGCCCCGGCUCACUACGUGCCAGCAGCCGCGGUGAUACGUAGGGGGCAAGCGUUAUCCGGAUUUACUGGGGGUAAAGGGGGCGCAGACGGCGAUGCAAGCCAGGAGUGAAAGCCCGGGGCCCAACCCCGGGACUGCUCUUGGAACUGCGUGGCUGGAGUGCAGGAGGGGGAGGCGGAAUGCCUGGUGUAGCGGUGAAAUGCGUAGAUAUCAGGAGGAACACCGGUGGCGAAGGCGGCCUGCUGGACUGCAACUGACGUUGAGGCCCGAAAGCGUGGGGAGCAAACAGGAUUAGAUACCCGUGUAGUC